RNAcentral lists this non-coding RNA (169 nucleotides) under Symbiodinium sp. clade D. Lineage: Eukaryota; Dinophyceae; Suessiales; Symbiodiniaceae. The record is from RNAcentral.
UUCUUUAUAGUUCCAUUUUUGGAUUUUCCCCUUUUCCAUUGUAGGUGAUAAGGAGGGCAUCAUAAGUUUUUCAUGUGAAGGGUAUGAGAAAUGGUACUUGGCAUAGAAAUGCAAUUAAUGGUAGUUCUAUCUGAAUGUUUUUUGUUAAUUAUUAAGCAUAAAAAAUGAA